AUGGCACUACAUCCUGUCUAUUUUUGCACAGGCACUACAUCCUGUCUAUUUUUGCAUAUGCAACUACUCCUUUUUUUGUUUAUAUGCGCACAUCCAGGCAAAAGUUGGCUUGGAUUCAUGUUUAGUUGCACAAAUAGAUGGUUUUUUGCACAGGCACUUCACCCUGUCUAUUUUUUGCACAUGGGUUGGUUUAUUUGCAUGCAUCCAGGCAAAAGUUGGCUUGGAUCCAUGUUUAGUUGCACAGGAAAGUGUUUUAUUGUGCAGAGAUCAGAUUCAACUCUAUUUGCUGCUUCAUGUUCCCUCUUCCUCCAACUAUGGAGAAGACCGGAGAAGAUUUGUGGCAGAUCCAGAGGGAAAGGGAAGGGGAAAGUGAAGAAGGAUGAUCUGAAGGCUAGAGGGAAGUUACCUGAUGUUGCUGCCUGCUAUGGCUCUGUACUCCCUCUUCUUGGAAUUGAAGCUUUUCUGGCCAAUUUCUUCACCUAG
This 483-nucleotide ribosomal RNA is filed under the name Triticum aestivum (bread wheat). RNAcentral describes it as "partial small subunit ribosomal RNA". Lineage: Eukaryota; Viridiplantae; Streptophyta; Magnoliopsida; Poales; Poaceae. The record is from RNAcentral.